CCAGCAGCCGCGGUAAUACGGGAGUGGCAAGCGUUAUCCGGAAUUAUUGGGCGUAAAGCGUCCGCAGGUGGUCUUGUAAGUCUGUCGUUAAAGCGUGGAGCUUAACUCCAUUUCAGCGAUGGAAACUACAAGACUAGAGUGUGGUAGGGGCAGAGGGAAUUCCCGGUGUAGCGGUGAAAUGCGUAGAUAUCGGGAAGAACACCAGUGGCGAAGGCGCUCUGCUGGGCCAUAACUGACACUCAUGGACGAAAGCCAGGGGAGCGAAAGGGAUUAGAUA
RNAcentral lists this ribosomal RNA (277 nucleotides) under uncultured Synechococcus sp. RNAcentral describes it as "partial 16S ribosomal RNA". It matches the Rfam family "Bacterial small subunit ribosomal RNA", at positions 508 to 784 of the family's 1533-position model. The record is from RNAcentral. Lineage: Bacteria; Bacillati; Cyanobacteriota; Cyanophyceae; Synechococcales; Synechococcaceae.